CGGAGGAUCCAAGCGUUAUCCGGAAUCAUUGGGUUUAAAGGGUCCGUAGGCGGUUUAGUAAGUCAGUGGUGAGAGCCCAUCGCUCAACGGUGGAACGGCCAUUGAUACUGCUAGACUUGAAUUAUUAGGAAGUAACUAGAAUAUGUAGUGUAGCGGUGAAAUGCUUAGAGAUUACAUGGAAUACCAAUUGCGAAGGCAGGUUACUACUAAUGGAUUGACGCUGAUGGACGAAAGCGUGGGUAGCGAACAGGAUUAGAUACCCUGGUAGUCCACGCCGUAAACGAUGGAUACUAGCUGUUGGGAGCAAUCUCAGUGGCUAAGCGAAAGUGAUAAGUAUCCCACCUGGGGAGUACGUUCGCAAGAAUG
Molecule: ribosomal RNA, 366 nt
Filed under: uncultured organism
Description: bacterial SSU rRNA
Rfam family: Bacterial small subunit ribosomal RNA
Source: RNAcentral